Molecule: long non-coding RNA, 7722 nt
Organism: Acinonyx jubatus (cheetah)
Lineage: Eukaryota; Metazoa; Chordata; Mammalia; Carnivora; Felidae
Exons: 5
Source: RefSeq, a predicted model, not a curated record
GGAGGGACAGAAUCCGAAGCGGGCUCCAGGCUCUGAGCUGUCAGCACGGAGCCCAAUGUGGGGCUCGAAUCCACAAACAGAUCAUGACCUGAGCCGAAGUUGGACACUUAACCAACUGAACCACCCAGGUGACCCUCAUGGGUUGUUUUUAAUUUACCCCCUUGACAGCAUCUCUUCAUCUCCAAUCCCCAGGGCCUCGGAUGCGUCAAAGUCUUGACUAAAACAAACCGGAACAAAAAACCUCUCACGUACCUUUCCCCUUCCAAAAGUUCAUAUACAUUGAAAGCAUGGAAACAGACCAAUGUGGUUCCUGAAAGAGAUCUCCACCCAGUCCCCUCAGCUGGAUCUAGGCUCUGUUGAUAUUUUUGGCGUGGACAUUGGAUUCCCCGAGAAAGUAGUGUUUCUCAAAACUCCAGUUGUUCCAACUCCCCCAUCAGAGGUUUUGCCGUAUCGACUUGUAGCCUGUGUUAUUAUUUGCUUAGUUUUCUACUCUAAUCAAGUCACUCUAAAAAAAAAAAAAAAAAUUUAGCCUUCUCCUAAAUAAUAAUAUAUGUGAAAAUACAUAAUUACAUGAAAUUACAGGCUGGAUGUGCUAAGUAUAUUUUAAACAUAUUAAAGUGAAUACGUAAUUACCGAAAUGAAAGAAAUAGAUGUUCUUGAGGCCCCUACAAUCAUCCUGGGUGGCCCUUUGGGCAACUCCUGCAUGGAGCCCUACUAGGGGUCCAGGCCAGCCCCCAAAGCCAUUCCACACCCACCAGGUUCCCCUCCACACGCUGCCAGCAUUGAAAUAAAGAAGUCCCUUGAGAGCGCGUUGGCUCCAGCACGAAGCUUGGACUAUUAAUCAUCGAGGCCCGCCCGCCCGCUGCGGUUGGGAUUUCAGCACGCAUGGGCAGAAAGAGCAGGCCCGGGAGGGGUUGGUUCGUGCUGACCACCUAUCCGAGUUUCACUUGAGAAGUGUGAGCCGGGGAAUAUUUCUGAGCCUCCGGGGCUGCCCGUCCUGGCUCACGCCCACAGAGUUCGGCCAGGCACCCCUCGUCUCCCCUGGGUCAGUAGCCGUGAGCUCCCCAGCAUGUCCCAUCUGUUUCCUUGAGGCAGGUGACUUCCUUGUCAUGCAUGGGAGCUUCCUAGGGGGAAGCCAGCUCUUGGCCCCGGGGAGCGCUUGCGUUCUACAAAUCCGUUGUUGCUGUGGGUCUGUGUUUGCCCUCGAGGCCGUGUCCCACACCCUCCCUUGUGUCCGAGGUGACUACUUUACGCCAGCAAAAGAAAACAAGCUUCACACCUCACGGAGCUGAAGGUGAGGCGACAGCUGGCUGAUGACGGCUCCUGACUCACCCAUGUGGAUCCUGGACCACAGGCGUGAAAGGAGCUCCCACCCAAGGGCACAUAUCAAGUCACAGAUGAGAACCCGGGUUUGGCUGCGCGGAGAGUGACGAGGGAUUGCGACAUGUUUUCAGCUAACCUCAGCUCUGCAGAGCCGAGCACUCGGGGAGUGAGGUUUAGGGAAGUCAAGCGUCCUUGGGUUGGUUUCCCAGAACAGCUGGGCAUGUCAGAAGACGUGAGUUCCAAUUUCACUCUCUUUCUUACUAGCUCUGUGACCUGAGGUGACUCCAUCAACUUCUCUGCGCCUCUGUGAUUUCACCUGUGAAAAGGAGGGAUUGCCCUCUGCUCCGCUUGCCUCCUGGGCCGUCCGGAUCCAGGGGGACCUCACAUGUCGAAGAAAUAGAACAGGAAUAGCAGAAGCCUGGCUGGACGCCUCAGCCCCUGUUCCUGCUUUCAAGGCGAAUGCAUUUUCUUUGCAUACGUGUGCAUGAAGGAGAAUGAAAUAGUACAAAGUAUCAAGCAAACUCAUAAUGGGCUACCUUGGGAGGGGGCAGGGGCGGGAGGAACCAGGUUUGAGGGUGGGGCAGUUCAUUUCCCUAGAAUACAUAUUCAUAUCUUUGCAGUUAUUUUAGUCUUUUUCAAAGAUAAUUGCACAGCAUUGAAUUGCACUGCCGGAUCCGUGAGGCAGACACAGUCCUUCAGGAGGAAGGAGAGGAGCUACAGUGGUCCGAAGGAUUUUACGGACUGGGAAACUUGCCUGUGGCGAGGAGGAGGACCGAUUUGGAUAAAUGGAAGGGAGCAAAGGCAUUCUCCCAGGGGACCAGCAUGAGCAAAGGGAAGCCAACUAAGAGCCACCCCAAAUGUGGGCUUUGGCUGACGGAGGAAGCAGUGGGGGAGCUGCACCUGUGCAGGGGGCAAAUCUGACCUCUCCCCGCCCAGACCAAGGAGUGUGGCAGGAGAUGCACUUGGAGCUCAAGACCACCAGCUUCCCACCCUCUCUGGACGCCGCUCCCUCCCAAACUGCCCGGGGACAGACGGGGCUGAAGCCUGCCGUUCUGGGCUAGAGCCCCGUCCAGGAGCCCCAAGACUGGCCAUGGGAUUGGGGGCGAGUCCCUGACCCCUCCCAGCCCUGGGCCCCCAUCCCUGAAACGAAGGGACGGGGCCCCUGGCACCUUGCAGCGGUGGCCAGGAGGGUGAAGUGAGACCAGGGCUCGGUCGGGGCACCGCUCUCCGUCCAGGCCGUUUGCUCACAGCACAAAUGAGAAAGUUGGAUGCGGCAGUGGCCAUGAGAGCAGGCUCCUAGUGACAAAGAAUGCUUCCUCUGCGAGGCCCCUCGCAAGCAGCCUCUCCUGGGUCUCCUGGACUCCCAGCCCCACCAGGCCGCGUGUGAACCCCAGUGGGGGAGGCAAGAGCCAACCCACUUCCGAAGCUGUCCUGGGAGGCACCCCACGCAGGCUGUGGGAAAUGGCGCCCAUUUCCAGGGGGUCCACCCGACAGACUUACCCGCAAACUUGGGGACCCACGUGUGUGAGAUGGAGGCCUCGCGCCAACAAGAGAGAGACAGAGCAUGAACGGGGAGAGAUGGAGACACAGAAUUGGAAGCAGGCUCCAGGCUCCGAGCCAUCAGCCCAGAGCCUGACGCGGGGCUCGAACUCACGGACCGCAAGAUCGUGACCUGAGCCGAAGUCGGACGCUCAACCGACUGAGCCACCCAGGCGCCCCAUAAACUUCUGCUUUUUUAAAGCUACUCUUAAGAGACAGAUGAGCUAAGCUACAAACUUGGAGAAAAUAUUUGCAAAUCGUAUUAUCUGAUAAAGGACUGGCAACCAGAAUAUAUAAAGAGCUCUCAAAACUCAAUAACAAGAAAGCACACAACACAUUUACAAAAUGGGCAGAAGAUCUGAAGGGACACUUUGUCAACAAAAGAUAAACAGAUUUAUCGCUCACUCUCUCUCUCUUUCUCGUUCCAUUUCCCCUCCCCCACCCCCAACCAGGUGAGGACACAGAAGGCAUCAAUCUGCAAACCAGAGCGUCCUUACCAGAACUGGACCAGGCUGACACCCCGAUCUCAGACUCCCAGCCUCCAGAAGCGUAAGAAAAUAAGUUGCUGUUGUUUAACACAACCCAGUGCGCGGCGUUUCUUAUGGUGGCCCGAGCAGACUAAGACAGUGGCUAAAGUUGAAGACUGAUGAUACCAAGUGUCGUCAGGGAAGUGGAGAAAGUAAGUGGGACAUGUACACACUGUGAGGAUAUACACGGUACAACCACUUUGGAAACCAGUUUAGCGGUUUCCUACAAACCUAAAUUAUAACUGCCGUGAUCCACCCAUUCUUGUCCUAGGAAUCUGCCCAAGAGAAGUGAAAACAUACGCCCACAGAAGGACUGGUUCACGAAUACUCUUCGCGACGUUGUCUGUAACAACCACAAACGGGAAACAACCCAACUCUCCACCAGCAUGUGAAUGGAUAAGCAAACGGCGGUGCCUCUAUCACAUAGAGGACCAAGGCCGGAAGCCCCUGCGCCAUGGGCUGAGUGUCCAGUCCCCAGGGCAGAGCCUGGCAGGUUCCAGGUAGGCUGUCUGACCGAGAGCUGGCCCAGUCCUGCACAACGGGACCCUCAGAGCCUGCUGGGGCCCGAGAGCAGAGGUGACAGCCGGUGGCCGUCUGAAGCGUGGGUCUGUGGGCUAACCUGGCCACGACUCGCCCCACGACCUCAGGCUGAUCCCUGAAUCCUUCUGGGCCAACAGAAAUAUGAUUCCGACUUCAACUGAACUUCCUCUGGAAUUCCCCUUGACCCUUGACCCUCCCACACAAGCCUCCCCACUCUGGGCUGUGCCUGCCUUGUCGUUUGGUUGCUCCUCCACAAGGGUGGCCACACGCUUGUUCACCAUUGCUCUUAGCAAGUGGCACACAGUAGGUGUUCAACACGUUUGCCAAUUGAUCAGAAACAUCUCCCAUGGGGCGCCUGGGUGGCUCCAUCGUUUGAGCGACCGACUUCGGCUCAGGUCAUGAUCUCACGGUCCGUGGGUUUGAGCCCCACGUCGGGCUCUGUGCAGACGGCUCAGAGCCUGGAGCCUGCUUCGGAUUCUGUGUCUCCCUCUCUCUCUGCCCCUCCCCUGCUCAUGCUCUGUCUCUCUCUGUCUCAAAAAUAAAUAAAAACAUUUAAAAAAAUCUCCUAUACUCUAGGCACUUGAUGUAUGACCGCUCAUUUAAUUUUCUAAACACUCCUGCAGUGUGGGUCUAGUCAUCCCCAUUUUAGAGAUGAAAACACUGAGGCUGAGUGAAACGACUUGAGGUAUCCAGAGACACGGGGCUGUAAAGAGGUGGUGGUGGAAUUUGAACCCGGCUCAUUAGACUCCGAAGCCCCUGAGCUUGCUGCCACACUGGGCUCCCCAGUCUCUCAUGAUGGGAUGACUUGACCUGACCUUUCCCCCCCCUCAUCGUUGGACUCCCCUGAGACAGAGCCUACAGAAGUGCCUGGCAAGGCUCGCUGCACAGAGGGGAAUGAGUCAGGCUGGAUGGCUGGCCAGUGGCCUCCAGUUCACCUGACUGGCUCAUGUUUGGGGUAUGUCACCUGUGAGCCCGGUUGGGUUUCUUGCAGGUUCCCACGGAGACCGGCCUCUUCUGGGAGCCGUCUGACGCUGCCUUUCCUCCCUGACCAGGCGACGAUUCCACUCGCUCUUCCCGAGGCCUCAGCCUUCAGCCCGACCGAAUCACGCAGGGGAGGUCAGAGCUCAUAAUUAUGUCAUUAAUCCUCAUGUGGCAACACACUGGAGGCUGUUUUCUUAGCACGAAGCAGGGCCUUAUGGGGAGCUUCUCUCUCUGCGGCCUUGCCCUGUCUGGGUCCGCAGCCCGGGAGCGGGGAACUUCCUUCCACAGAGCCCAGAGGUGUGGAAAUGUGAUGCUGGGUCUCCCGCACCCAAGAACCUGCACCCCGCUGUGUGUUGUCAGUCUCCUGGGGCUGCUGUAAUAAAUUACCAUAAACUUGGUGGCUUAAAACAACAGAAAUUUAUUUUCUCACUGUCCUGGAAGCCAGGCCAAACAUCAAGGGCCUACUGAGAUGAUCCAAGAUGAUCUCAUCUCAAAAUGCUUAAUAACAUCUGUAAAGACCCCUUUUCCAAAUAAGGUCACAUUCACAUGUUCCCAGUGGACAAAUAUUUUGGGGGGGGGGCCACCAUUCAGCCCCUACAUUCCAGAAGUUGCCUCCACCAGUGCCAAUUAACCGCAUAGACACUUCCCUCCUUGCUAGAUGCCUCUGUCGUCUGUCCUUUCCUCUCCAUCCCAACAGCUACUAUCCUAUUCAGACUCUCCCUUCUAUUGCUGGGACUGGUGCAGUAGACUUCUAACCUGCUCCAUUUUCAUCUCUCAUUCUUUUUACUGCUCCAGAGGGAUUUUUCUAACCACCAAAUUACCCUAUAUCAUUCCUGCUUCACACACUUUAAAAGCGCGAGUCCAAACUCCCAGGUGUGGUGUUUGAGGCCCUGACCGGCCGCUCAUCUGCUUGUCCCGGCCUCUGCUGGUGCCUUCCACCAGACCCACCAACACUGUAAGACCUUUAAACAGACCAUCCUCUCACCUUGCUUAAGCUCCUUGUUCAUUUCCCAGUCCACCCGCCAGAACUUCUGGGAGGUCUUCCCCAGUCCUGCCACGCGUCCCGAGCACCUCCGUCGGCCCCGGCACCUGUCACUCAUCAGCAUUGUCCGCCGAUAUGCCCAGGGUCUUCUUCAAUAGAGCUGGAGCUCCUCGGGGGCCGGGAUGGCGCAUUCUUUAAUUUUGUAAAGAGCUCGGCACAUAGCACGUGCUGCGUAAGGUUCACGGUGUAAGUGGCCUCGUAAUGGUAAAUCGCCCAGAAGCAGAGACCCUGCUUAACUCAUUGGCUUGACCCUGACAGCAUCUUCCCCACCCCUCAUAUCUUAAAGUUGUGGGAACUGAGCUCCUACAACGCACAGCGGAGUAUGCUUGAAAUAAGCAAAGCCUGCCUUGGCCACUAACGCUCCGUACAACUUGGGCAGGUCCCUGGGUUUUUUGGAGUCUCUGUUCCCUCAUCUGAAAACGGACACUGAUUUUGUCGCCCUCAGAACAGUAGUCGUGUAAACACAGAGUCACGACUUGGCCCAGAAAUUCUGCUCCUAGGUAUACGCCCCAGAGAAAUGUGUCCACAAAAGAACCGGUACAUGAAUCGUCAUAGCAUCGUUAUUCAUCAUCGGCAAGAGGCGGAAACAACCCAAGCGCCCAUCGGUGGAUGAACAGAUAAAGAUAUAGCGUAUCCAGACACCAGAAUAUUGCUCAGCAGUGGAACGGAAUGAAGUACUGACAUGUGCUACAAUGUGGAUGAACCUGGAAAACGUGAUGCUGAGUAAAAGAAACCAGCCACGAAAAAUCACGUAUUAUGUAUGUUUCCAUUUCUAUGACAUGUCCAGAAGAGGCAAGUCUAUAGAGACAGAAAGCAGGACUUGUUACUAAAGAGGAGAAGCAGAGUCUGUUUACCCGGCCCUGGAAUCUUGGCGGGUUCUCACACUGGCUUUGGACAUCGAACGCGGCAGAAGUGACAUUGGCAUCCAGUGCCAGACUUGUGAGCAAGGCCAUCUUGGACAAUAGGCCCCCCACGGAGCCAUCACCUGACUGCCGUCACUGAGGGAGCCCCAGAAACCAGUAGAAGAACCGCCACCUAAUCCCAGCCCCAACUCUGACCCUGAGUCACGCGCUAAUAAAUAUUUGUUGUUUUGAGCCACUAAGUUUUGCAGUGGUAUCUUAUGCAGUGGUAACCAACUGACUGACACAGGGACAGACGUUAAUAGAGCCACUUUUUUGUGCCCUUCCCUGCUUUUCCUUUUUUUCAAAAUUUUGUUUGUUUUCUUUAUUUCGAGACAGAGAUGGUGCAAGCAGGGGAGGGGCAGAGAGAGAGAAUCCGAAGCAGACCCUGAGCUGCCAGCGCAGAGCCAGACGUGGGGCUCGAACCGUGAGAUCAUGACCUGAGCUGAAACCAGGAGGUCGAACGCUCAACCGACGGAGCCACCCAGGCACCUCCCCCCCCCCCCCCCCCCCGCCGCCCCCUUCUCUCCUGUUCUGCCUGGAGAGGAGAUAGGAUUAUCUGGAGCUGCAGCAGCCACCUUGCAACCUUGAGGGAAAACAAACAGAAUCACGAUAUGAUUCCACAUUGGUGUGCUGCCUAAAUACCAACGGGUUUUGUUCCGUUUUGAAUUUCUUUUCACGCGAGAAAAUCAACCCCUGUUUGUUAUAAUACUAUGACUUCUCAAAUUACUAUCGUACUAUAAGUUCUGAUGAGGGGGAGGUAAGGAAGUGCUGAAUCACUGUAUUGUACACCUGAAAGCAACAUUACACUGUAUAUUAACUAACUGGAAUUUAAAUAAAAGCUUGAAAAAAAAAUAACUUCUAACGAAUA